Molecule: long non-coding RNA, 415 nt
Filed under: Aotus nancymaae (Ma's night monkey)
Lineage: Eukaryota; Metazoa; Chordata; Mammalia; Primates; Aotidae
Description: lncRNA (ENSANAG00000038698.1)
Source: RNAcentral
CUCCGCCUCUCAAGUUCAAGCGAUUUCUGUCUAAUUUUUUUAUUUUUAGUAGAGAUGAGGUUUCACCAUGUUGGCCAGUCUGGUCUUGAACUCCUGAUCUCAAGUGAUCUGCCCUCCUUAGCCUCCCAAAGUGCUGGGAUUUCAGGUGUGAGCCACCUCAGCCAAACUACAUCAUGUCUUCUUGGGGAAGGGAGCACUACUGGACAUUUUUUGGCUAAGUGGAACAGAUACUUCCCGACAAGCUGCACAGCCGCAGAAGACUAGAGUGAGAGUCACAGGCCACUCCCAUCCCAUUUCCCUGAGCGCCUACAGCCUACCACUAUUCUGGUACCAACUUCUUUAUCGGUUGAGUUCUGGAUGGCAAGCAACAGAACCACUGCCUACUUCAAGCUCACAGAAUCUCCAACAGUGCCCA